Long non-coding RNA from Astatotilapia calliptera (eastern happy), 2320 nucleotides. The record is from Ensembl. Lineage: Eukaryota; Metazoa; Chordata; Actinopteri; Cichliformes; Cichlidae.
GCGGUCUACGUGGGCCGGGUCCUCAGAAGGUCGGGUAGGCCAGAAGUGAGCGGCUGUGAAACUGGACGGUCUAGCCUUCAGAUUUGCAUCACCAGCUGUCUUGGUGGAGUUUAAUAAACUCGGCCGUCUGCUCAUUUCUGUCUAAAAUAUAACAGGAUACUGGCAUAAUUCUCGAUCAUCUCACAUUUCUGAUAAUCAGUUUUCCAUUUGACUUUUAUUCAGCUGUGUGAAAACUUUAAUCUCAGCCAAACCGAUUUACUCACAAACAAAUAAAACACUGAAAAAAGCCAAAUUAACAUUUUUAAUUUCUCUAAGUGACUUAUAUCAUGUUUAACCUGAGUAGCGAAAGACAGCGGGGGGGUUCACUGUUAUUGCCCCGGCUAGCUGUCGAGCUGGUUGCUAACAGACGUCUCCGAAAAUGUCGCAGCACUUCUGAAAAUAUGUGAUGUCUUGAUAAGCCGAGCAGAUAUUUGAAGUUUACACAGCUACAUUCUUGCCUAAAAAUAUCUUAAAAGUUUAUUUUGUGACUCAGAAAGAGUAAUUGGAGUAAUAUUAAAACUUAGUAGCUGCUGACAUUGGCGGAAACUGGAAUUAGCUGGGCCGUGCUAGGAAUUCUGGAAUAUGGUGGGCCACCAAGGACACACCCGACCCAUCCUUCAAAUUGGAGGAAAAGGAGUAUGCAUUUGUCAGAGUCUACGAAUUUGGACUGAAUUGUACAUAAUAAUAUCACGGAUGAUAAAUUAAAUAGAUUUUAAGUAGGUGCUUGUGCAUUCUUAAAGUCUUAUAGGUUGAAUUGAACUUUGUGAUCAGUUCAGAGCCUCCCAGUCAGUGCUGUUCUCCAUGCCUGUCUGACUGUACAUGAUGUUAUUAGCACAAACACUUUAAAGGGGAUCAGUUAGGACUUCAGCAAUAAUACAGACAGCAAUCUAGUUAGCAAUAAAACAGUUUUAUUUGGAAUUAAUUUAAAAAACAAAGAAACAUCUCUGUCCUAUUUUUUUUGUGUCAUACAGGAAAGAAGCAGCAGCAACAGGAGAUGGAUAUCUCUAACAAGUUGAUUUGUUCACAUUUUCACAUCUUAAUUUUUAAGUGAAAUGUGCAUUUUGAGUUUAUACACUAUAUGCAUAUAAGGUGACAGUUUCCUUUUGCAUAAUUUUUGUGUGGUGCGUUUUUUCUAUGUCUUAACAAAAGGGGGAACAAAGGUGCUUAAUUUAACCUAGACCUGACCCUGAAAAAGGCGUAUGAACCCUGUGAGUAAUUGUAAUUUCAUUACAGAAGAUAGGUCCAUUUAGAGUACCCGUAGUAUCAGAUUUGAUCAAAAAAUCGGAAUUGAGCAUUAAGACCUGCAGUGUGAACGUAGCCUUAGAGUAGGUUAGUUGUUUUGUUUGCUCUCAGUUUGACAGCCCUAUUAAAGAUUAAUAUCAGUUUGUACAUGCUUCAGAUAGCUUUUCUUCAAAUUCUUUAAUUCUCGCUUUUGCAACUUUUUGCUUUUGCGUUACUCACAACAGCAACUCCACCUCAUUGUUUGUCCAUUUAAAAAAACUUGGUGGUUUUCCUCAACCGUUUGCCGCAACGUUUCAGAGAGCCGGAAAGUAAAUAAACAGCAGAUAGAAAUGAGGCAGGUCGAAUCUUCUUGCGUUUCACGCAUGCGCAGUACUGGAACGUAAGAGUUUUCGUCUGUUUCAAUGUUGACGCACAAAUCUGUCAAAACAACUGAAAAUGCUAGUGUGGAUGUGGAGCGUUUUCAGAUGAAAACAGUUUUCAAAUCUGUCCGGGCUAGUGUGGAUGUAGCUUUAGAGGGGCAAUGACAGACGAGGUCUCAAUAUUUAAUCUGUUUCUGAGAAGCAAUUAGAGAAAACUUUAAAGAGCUCAUGUGAGAUGGGUGGCUUCUAAAAAUAAAUGACAGGCCUUCUUUUUGUCUUAUAUUUCAUUCUGUUUAUUCAUCCUUCUGUGGGUCAAUAAUUUCGAAUUUGUCCUUUUUUUCUUUUUUUUUAACACUUGAUAAGGUGCCUGUUUAAAUGAAUUCACUCAUCUCCCUUCAUGGACUACACUUGAAUAACAUUGCACUCUACCUUAUCUAACCAGCAUAUUAAGAGGCUGAGACACCCUGUGUUCAAAGGGCAGGUUCUUCCUCUGCUUCUCGUGCUUCAGCUCCGCACACCUGGGUUCAUUAACUCACAUACUGGAAAUUGGGACCCACUGAGAGAGAGAAUUCCUGUGGACCUGCCUGAACUGAAGCUUUGGAUUCACUAACUGGAAAUCCUUCUGUUGUCACAUUCUGUUGUUACUUCACUGUAAAUAAACGCACUGAACUUAAUCCUGC